This 519-nucleotide ribosomal RNA is filed under the name uncultured bacterium. Its description in RNAcentral is "partial 16S ribosomal RNA". The record is from RNAcentral.
ACCAGACGAUGCGGUUACCGCGGCUGCUGGCACGGAGUUAGCCGGUGCUUCUUCUGUGAGUGAUGUCCUUCCUGCCGGCUAUUAACCCGCAGGCCUUCUUCCUCACUGAAAGUGCUUUACAACCCGAAGGCCUUCUUCACACACGCGGCAUGGCUGGAUCAGGGUUGCCCCCAUUGUCCAAUAUUCCCCACUGCUGCCUCCGUAGGAGUCUGGGCCGUGUCUCAGUCCCAGUGUGGCUGAUCAUCCUCUCAGACCAGCUACGGAUCGUCGCCUUGGUGAGCCGUUACCUCACCAACCAGCUAAUCCGACAUAGGCUCAUCCGAUAGCGCGAGGCCCGAAGGUCCCCCGCUUUCCCCCGGUAGGGCGUAUGCGGUAUUAGCCGUGGGUUUCCCCAGGUUACUCCCCACUACCGGGCAGAUUCCUAUGCAUUACUCACCCGUCCGCCGCUCGCCACCAGGGAGCAAGCUCCCCGUGCUGCCGCUCGACUUGCAUGUGUUAGGCCUGCCGCCAGCGUUCAAU